AAAGGUCAGGCCGAGGCCGGCGCGGAGAAUCUGCCGUCGCCUGCAUCUGCUCGCCUAUCUCCGUCGGAAGGGAGCCCAAGCUUUGCUGAGAGACGGAGUUUCACCGUGUUAGCCAGGAUGGUCUCAAUUUCCUGACCUCAUGAUCCGCCCGCCUCGGCCUCCUAAAGUGCUGGGAUUACAGGCGUGAGCCACUGCGCCUGGCCUCAGCCAAGGUUUUUAAGUAACAUAUUUCAGCAUUGGCUCUACAGCUUUGCAGGUUGGUCACAGAAGCAUUAGCUGGGUCUGAAAUGUUAGUAAGCAUUUUAUUAUUCCAGCAAAGAUUCACAUGAAUUAACUAUGUAUCAGAAGGCAUGACAACUGCAGUGUGCUUGCUGAGCAAAAAAUUACCAUUGCAGUAAAUUCUCAUGCUCCCAGGCUAAACGGAUUAUCAGCUAGGGAUCUGAGAAGAAAUCCCCUGUUCCUUUUGAGCCAAAUAACCUGCUGCUGGGUCACUGUAGCCUUAGCUUUGUUGUCUGUUUACUGCAGAAUGGUGCAUCCAAAUCCCUAUUUUCUCUU
RNAcentral lists this small RNA (555 nucleotides) under Pongo abelii (Sumatran orangutan). RNAcentral's name for it is "processed transcript". The record is from RNAcentral. Lineage: Eukaryota; Metazoa; Chordata; Mammalia; Primates; Hominidae.